RNAcentral lists this ribosomal RNA (116 nucleotides) under Neobacillus sp. DY30. The record is from RNAcentral. Lineage: Bacteria; Bacillati; Bacillota; Bacilli; Caryophanales; Bacillaceae.
UCUGGUAAUAAUGGCGAGAAGGUCACACCCGUUCCCAUACCGAACACGGAAGUUAAGCUUCUCAGCGCCGAUGGUAGUUGGGACUUUGUCCCUGUGAGAGUAGGACGUUGCCAGAC